CACCGAGCGGCGGGUAGAAU
Molecule: small nuclear RNA, 20 nt
Filed under: Arabidopsis thaliana (thale cress)
Lineage: Eukaryota; Viridiplantae; Streptophyta; Magnoliopsida; Brassicales; Brassicaceae
Description: snRNA_05370
Source: RNAcentral